This 74-nucleotide transfer RNA is filed under the name Limnofasciculus baicalensis BBK-W-15. Its description in RNAcentral is "tRNA-Glu". It matches the Rfam family "tRNA". From Rfam's summary of the family: Transfer RNA (tRNA) molecules are approximately 80 nucleotides in length. The record is from RNAcentral. Lineage: Bacteria; Bacillati; Cyanobacteriota; Cyanophyceae; Coleofasciculales; Coleofasciculaceae.
GGCCCUAUAGGCGAACGGUUUAAGCCACCACUCUUUCAAAGUGGAAAUUGCGGGUUCAAAUCCCGUUAGGGCUA